RNAcentral lists this transfer RNA (69 nucleotides) under Ictidomys tridecemlineatus (thirteen-lined ground squirrel). Its description in RNAcentral is "Spermophilus tridecemlineatus (thirteen-lined ground squirrel) tRNA". It matches the Rfam family "tRNA". Rfam says of the family: Transfer RNA (tRNA) molecules are approximately 80 nucleotides in length. Their secondary structure includes four short double-helical elements and three loops (D, anti-codon, and T loops). The record is from Rfam by way of RNAcentral. Lineage: Eukaryota; Metazoa; Chordata; Mammalia; Rodentia; Sciuridae.
GGAGUUGUGGCUCAGUGGUAGAGUGCUUGCCUUGUAUGUGCGAGGCCCUGGGUUCAAUCCUCAGCACCA